GGUAUGAGCAGCCAGGAUAUUGAUAGGGGCAGUCAAGAAAAGAAUUCUACUGAAAUAAGGUAAAGAAAGAUUUUUUUAAGGGUUGGAGAAAGGAGCAUAUUCACUGUCUGAAAGGAAGGAACCAGUAGAAGAAAACAGAUUGAAGGCAUAGCUGAGAGAGCUGAGUGCUGGGUCCAUUUUGGAUCCUAUCUAUAUGCUCAGUUAUCACCCUAGAUUCUUCGACUAAUUCUUUGUCCAAAGAAAAUGCCAAAAGCUCUAGGCUAGUGUCAGAGCCUCAAGUCACCCUCAUUGCUUUCUGCUACUUGCUGACUUUGUUACAGGUCCUAGUUCUUGGGUUCUGGCUCUAUCCCUUGUGGCCAAGCCCUUGACUUAAGCCUCAAUUCAUUCCAAUUAUUCUAUUUCAAGUUCUCAAUUUGAUUCAUUUCUGAGAAUUCUUGUUGAACUCUCUAGAAAUGAGGUUUUUGCCUCACACUUCACUUUCUUCUUAGGUAUGGUAUUAUACACUUAUAACUGCCUACGUCGCAGCCAUUUCCCACCUUCUUCUUCCUGGUUAAUAUAACCCCAAUUCUGUUCAGAUCUCCAGUGACAAUAUACUUUAAGGGAUGGUCAGCCCCUUCCCACCCUGGGAGGGGAAUUUACUUAGUCAAAGCUAGUUAUGUAAAUUCUAUUUCCCUGGACAGUAAUUGGUUCUGGAAAAGGAUGUUUCAAAAUUCUUAUCUGAUGGCAGUCUGAAGUCCUGGAAGAAAGAUUUCCACUUUUUCUACUGGAUAUAGCUGUGUCUACAUGGAAUACCUGGCAAAUGGACUCAUCCAGCAACCAUGAAAGAACAAGACAGAGCUGCCGAGCAAAAAGGAGAGAACCUGGGUGCAUGGAAUAUUGUCAAACCACUGUGUUAGUUAGUGGUACCCAGAAUUGCCUACCUUUGGUUUUCUUGUUAUAUAAGUUGUUUUCUCAAAUAUGUUUCAUUGGGCUUUCUGUUUCUUAAAAAAGAUUCUAAGUGACAUACUGUAAAAGAAAAGGCUGAGAAAAACUGACUUUAUUGAGGUCAUACUACAUAACAAAUAUUUUGCAUCCAUUAUUUGGCUUAAUUUUUAUAACCACCUUAUGAAGUUCAUAUUUGAUCUCCAUUUAAAGAGGAGUACAACCCAAAAA
Molecule: long non-coding RNA, 1152 nt
Filed under: Homo sapiens (human)
Lineage: Eukaryota; Metazoa; Chordata; Mammalia; Primates; Hominidae
Description: long intergenic non-protein coding RNA 1878
Source: RNAcentral